UUGUGCAGCUAGCUCUCUGCAAUUCUCACAUGGUCAUCCACUGAAGCUAAGCGUGGCUGUACCCGGUCAGUACCUGGAUAGGAAACCACAUGGGAAAGCUAGGUUGCUGCCGAAA
Ribosomal RNA from Danio rerio (zebrafish), 115 nucleotides. NCBI's taxonomy places the organism in Eukaryota, Metazoa, Chordata, Actinopteri, Cypriniformes, Danionidae. The record is from Ensembl.